AGCCGUAUAUACAUGCUUGCUAGACUUUGAGCCACACAUUUACUAUUUACUGCUUAUGAGCAUUGAGUGUGGUCAAGCUGUGUAGACCCUUAGGAGCUUGUCAUGUGGUUAAAUCAAGAUUUCACUUGCACGUUCACUCAUAUAUGCUACUUCUAUUCCGGAAGUACCAUCUACAUAUAUCCAUCCAUUUCCAUCUCCAGAACCACCUAAAAAUAUUCUACUCCUAACCCGGGAGAGAAUAACCAAAAAUAUUUCUGUUUUCCCCUGUGAAAUAAAUGCUCAAGUUAUCUUGUUACUACCACUUGCUAUAUUAUCUCAAGAGAUGAGUGCUCUAAAAAAAAGAGAUACGAGGAAAUAAAAAGGAGCAAGUGCUCGGAACCUCGAAAGAAAAGAAAAAGUGAGACGAGAGGUAAAAAUGGACAAGUGUCCGACAGUAGAAUUAGGGG
RNAcentral lists this long non-coding RNA (446 nucleotides) under Sorghum bicolor (sorghum). Its description in RNAcentral is "long non-coding RNA (SBIC_LNC004713)". Lineage: Eukaryota; Viridiplantae; Streptophyta; Magnoliopsida; Poales; Poaceae. The record is from RNAcentral.